ACGGAAGGCAGCAGUGGGGAAUAUUGCACAAUGGGCGCAAGCCUGGUGCAGCGAUGCCGCGUGAGGGAAGAAGGUUUUCGGAUUGUAAACCUCUGUCAACAGGGACGAAAUAGACGGUACCUGUGAAGGAAGCUCCGGCUAACUACGUGCCAGCAGCCGCGGUAAUACGUAGGGAGCAAGCGUUAUCCGGAAUUACUGGGUGUAAAGGGAGUGUAGGCGGGACUGUAAGUCAGAUGUGAAAUAUACCGGCUCAACUGGUAGACUGCAUUUGAAACUGCGGCUCUUGAGUGGAGUAGAGGUAAGCGGAAUUCCUAGUGUAGCGGUGAAAUGCGUAGAUAUUAGGAGGAACAUCAGUGGCGAAGGCGGCUUACUGGGCUUUAACUGACGCUGAGGCUCGAAAGCGUGGGGAGCAAACAGGAUUAGAUACCCUGGUA
This 434-nucleotide ribosomal RNA is filed under the name uncultured Ruminococcus sp. RNAcentral describes it as "partial 16S ribosomal RNA". It matches the Rfam family "Bacterial small subunit ribosomal RNA", at positions 341 to 792 of the family's 1533-position model. Lineage: Bacteria; Bacillati; Bacillota; Clostridia; Eubacteriales; Oscillospiraceae. The record is from RNAcentral.